Molecule: long non-coding RNA, 325 nt
Filed under: Elaeis guineensis (African oil palm)
Lineage: Eukaryota; Viridiplantae; Streptophyta; Magnoliopsida; Arecales; Arecaceae
Description: long non-coding RNA (EGUI_LNC010874)
Source: RNAcentral
UCAGCUUCGACGGUCGUCGCCCUGUCCUUCCAGGCCGCCCGGAUAUCUCCGAACCUCCGAUACCCGGCCUCCAGUUCGGACAUAGUGUAAAUCAACUGCAAACGAGGACUGACCGUCAGAGAGAUGAAGUAACAAAGAUAGUAAGGGAGGAAGAAGGCGAGGCAAGACUUACCCUGAUCAUGGUCGGGUAAAAAGAGGAUAGCAUCUCGAUCACCUGUCGAGCCUUCAGAACCUCCACAUCGGCUGGGAGGAGGGUCCCCUGACAUAGCCUCCUGGCCAAGUUAUGGUCGGCCAGGGCCGACGCUCCCUCAGGGACCCGAACGCC